This is a non-coding RNA of Gorilla gorilla gorilla (western lowland gorilla), 117 nucleotides long. It matches the Rfam family "Metazoan signal recognition particle RNA". From Rfam's summary of the family: The signal recognition particle (SRP) is a universally conserved ribonucleoprotein. It is involved in the co-translational targeting of proteins to membranes. The eukaryotic SRP consists of a 300-nucleotide 7S RNA and six proteins: SRPs 72, 68, 54, 19, 14, and 9. NCBI's taxonomy places the organism in Eukaryota, Metazoa, Chordata, Mammalia, Primates, Hominidae. The record is from Rfam.
GCCGGGCACGGUGGCUCAUGCCUGUAAUCCUAGCACUUUGGGAGGCUGAGGCGGGCGGAUCACCUGAGGUCAGGAGUUCAAGACAAGCCUGGCCAACAUGGUGAAACCCUGUCUCUA